Arachis ipaensis is the source of this 2989-nucleotide non-coding RNA. Lineage: Eukaryota; Viridiplantae; Streptophyta; Magnoliopsida; Fabales; Fabaceae. The record is from RefSeq and is a predicted model, not a curated record.
UAAUUGUGGCUUUUGGAACUGCCAUAAUUUUUUUUAACUUGAGUGAUGUUGCAUAUGAGAGUGUUAGUAUUGUUGCAUAUGAGAAAGUGAAGAUGAUGUCACUGACAAACCCUAAUUUCUUGCCUUUGUUCAUCUUCUACUGAUUUGUCAUUCAACUCCUCGCUGUCGCUCCUCAUCCCCUUGUUGCAGCUCAUCUCCUCGCUGCUACAAGCAACGCCAUUGUCGUUGCCUUCAUUGAGCUUCUAUGAUUUGGCUUCGAUCUGAAGAUUUGUCAACGUUCGUCGGAGCUCCGAUUUCUUCGUUUCUUUAAUUCACAUAUUCUAUCUCUCUCUCUCUCUCUCUCUCUCUCUCUCUCUCUCUCUCUCUCUCUCUCUCUCUCUCUCUGACGUUUAGCUUCUUCUCCUCGGAGCUCCGAAAAAACCACCACAGUCACCACCAGCACUAAGCUUCACCAUGGAAGGCGGCGGAGCAACGCUAUCGGAUGUUUACCAAAGCGCGAAGAAGCUCCUCAAUACGCGCGACGACGUGGAAUGCCUCGAGUGCCUCGACUACUCCGCCUCCUCCGAUCUCUCCCUCUCCCUCUCCAACGACAUCUCUCAGAUCCAAUCCCUAUGCGUCCAGAUGGAUCGAUUCUGGCGCUCCACUGCCGCCAAAUCUCAACGCGAUCUCUGGAAAAGGCUAUGAUUGUUCUGAAAUAAACGCAGUAUCUGCAAUCGAUGAAAUAAAUUGCCUUUUGGUUGAGAGGUAAAAGUUUAAUUCCUUUUGGUUGAGAAGGUAAACAUUUAAUUCCUUUUGGUAGAAAGCUAGGUUCUGUUUGUUGGGAGAAAGAAGGGAUUGAGGGAGGUAUGCUAGCUUUUCCUACAAAUGAAUGAAUGGAUUGUAUAGUGAUUAUUCUGCAGAUGCUCACCACUUUAUCGACUUAUGGUAACAUCCUUAUGAUUUUGCAGAGAAAAGCAUAGCCUUGAGAAAAACUAAGUCUCAAAUUUUUACAAACAGUUCUGUAAGUUUAAGUUACUAUUUCUAUACUUUAAAAUGCAUUCAUUUUAAUGCAUUUUUCAUCAAGUUCUGUUUCUACUCUGUAUAAUUUUGACAUAGAUGCUGCAAUUGAAAGCUUUAAAAAUGCACUGGUCUUAGAGCCAAAUGAUGGUAAGUUGUGAUUUUGUAUAAGGCCUUAGUUAGACAAGAACUACUAGUGUACUUAUAUAGGUGGACAUUUAAUUUUGUUACUUACAACUGGGAUUAAGAAGGAACUUGCUGCUGCCAAGAAAAAUGUGAGUGUAUAUCUAAGUUGAGCAAGCUUGAAGGUGCAUUAUAAGCGUAUUGCGAAUUUAACUGGUUAUAUUAUAUUGUAGGUUGCUGAUAGGCGUGACCAGGAGAAAAAGGCAUAUAGCAAGGAGUUAAAAUUACAAUCAGCAAAACAGAAAGAAAUAGCCGAGUCUGAGAAGGAAGUAUCUAAUCGAAUCAGGAAUCUGUACAAGAAAGAAUAUGCAAAAAAACAGAGUAGGCAAGUACGGUUGUGCACUAAAACUCCACCUUCGAGUAAAAAAAGAUUCUGGGGAGAUGGACCAUGUUACAAUGUGUCAAAUUUGAUGAGCAACAUAAUGAAGAAGUCAAAGAUAGAAUUUCUAAAGAGGUAACUUAUAAUGCUAGAUAGAUUUAUGUGGUUCCUUUUUAUUUUUCUUACUUCUUUUCCCUUUUCAGAUUAGAAGCUUUGAUUCUAUCUAACUCUUCAUGAAGAAUUGAAGGGUUUAAUUGAUGAUGGGUAGAUAUUAGCUUAUCCUAAUUUAUACGUGUAUUAUAUAUAUUAUUGUGGCAAUAAUGAUAGAUGGAUAAUUAGUCUUCAAUUCUAAUGUUUGUUUCGCCGGCCUGAGCAUAAAUUUUCUUGAUCCCUUAGCUUUUUCAUUCAUUGUACUGUUUUAAUUAUUAAGAACCCAAAAUGCCUAACUGGCUACCUAGUGAGUUUAAUUUAAUUUAGAUGAAUAAGUGAAGGUAGGUUAAGUUAUGUCUAAUUUGUGAUUAAUUUGAUGUUAGUAGUGUUUAGAUUGUGGCAGCAAACUUUUGGUGAUGAUGAGGGUCCACUGAAAUGAAACAACAUUGUGAAAUUCAAUUUCGUAGUAAUGUGUAGGUCAUGGUUUAAAGUAAUAUUAAUGAAGACAUGCCAAUACCAUUAUUAUACCAUCAAACACGGAGCAUCUCACUGUUCCCUAAGGUUUCCUUCAUUUUUUAUUACAACAAUAAUAUAUAGUUCAUGAUUAACCUUCACAAAUACUAUCAUUAUGUUUGCUACGUGCUAAUAUUUCAAUACUUUUCCCUUAAUUAACAAUAACAAUAAACUGUUUGUUAGUUUUUAAUCCUAAUAAUGUAGGAAAAUCCCAUACCUCCCUAAUAAGUUGCUUGGUUAAAUUUAUUUUGUGUUGUCCAAGUUAAUGGUUUAACUAGUUUAACUAUUAAUUGUUAACUCUUUGAUUCUUUUUUUUUUCUUUUUGUUAAAAUAUUGUUUCUAAUGACAUCUUUUCAUUGUUAUAAUUUUAAUUUAUAACGGCCGGCUUGAUAGAAAUUCCAUGAUAGGAGAGGUUCCUACAAAUCUUUGUAAGAGAUGAGUUUGGAUAAUGAAGUUGGAGUGUUGGAGCAAGAAACAAAGAUGUUGGAGCAAAUUCCCGAGAUGAAACUCACACAAGAGACCAAGAAACUAAGGCAGGCUUGUUUUAAAGUUAAUUACAAAAGGAGAAAACUUUUGGCCUCCAAAUCUUAUUCAUUAUCACUUAGCUAAGCUAUUUGUCUUGUAUAUUCAUAUUCUAAGUAGUAAAAACAACACUUAUUAGAUGGUUUAAAUACAUUAUUAGGUAUUAACAUAGUUUAGGGAAUUGGAUGAUAGAUUUGACUGAUUAGUGUUUAUUGCAAUGGUUGUAUUUUGGCAAGUUUAGUAAGACAAGGUUUUGUAUAGGAGUUAUUACUUUUGAUUUUUAAUAAUAAAAAAUUAUAUAUUAUA